Molecule: ribosomal RNA, 262 nt
Filed under: uncultured bacterium
Lineage: Bacteria
Description: partial 16S ribosomal RNA
Rfam family: Bacterial small subunit ribosomal RNA
Source: RNAcentral
UACGUAGGGCGCAAGCGUUGUCCGGAAUUAUUGGGCGUAAAGAGCUCGUAGGCGGUUCUGUCGCGUCUGGUGUGAAAACUCAAAGGCUUCGAACCUUGAGCCUUGCAUCGGGUACGGGGCAGACUAGAGUGUGGUAGGGGUGACUGGAAUUCCUGGUGUAGCGGUGGAAUGCGCAGAUAUCAGGAGGAACACCGAGUGGCGAAGGCAGGUCACUGGGCCGACUACUGACGCUGAGGAGCGAAAGACAUGGGGAGCGAACAGG